GAUGAAGAACGUAGCGAAAUGCGAUACUUGGUGUGAAUUGCAGAAUCCCGUGAACCAUCGAGUCUUUGAACGCAAGUUGCGCCUCAAGCCAUUAGGUUGAGGGCACGUCUGCCUGGGCGUCACAUAUCGUUGCCUGAUGCCAGUUUCCUCGUGAUGGGUGACUGUGCAGGGCGAAUGAUGGCUUCCCGUGAGCAUUGUUGCCUCAUGGUUGGUUGAAAAUUGAGUCCUUGGUAGGGAGCGCCGUGAUAGAUGGUGGUUGAGUGACGAACGAGACCCAAUCAUGUGAGACCCCUACCGAAUUUGGCCUUCAUGACCCACCUGCGUCUUUGGAACGCUCAUGACGAGACCUCAGGUCAGGCGGGGCUACCCGCUGAGUUUAAGCAUAUCAAUAAGCGGAGGA
This 400-nucleotide unclassified non-coding RNA is filed under the name soil metagenome. Its description in RNAcentral is "partial contains 5.8S ribosomal RNA, internal transcribed spacer 2, and large subunit ribosomal RNA". The stretch from base 1 to 122 matches the Rfam family "5.8S ribosomal RNA", at positions 35 to 154 of the family's 154-position model. The record is from RNAcentral.